Molecule: long non-coding RNA, 1597 nt
Organism: Neogale vison (American mink)
Lineage: Eukaryota; Metazoa; Chordata; Mammalia; Carnivora; Mustelidae
Exons: 3
Source: RefSeq, a predicted model, not a curated record
CCAACUGAGCCACCGAGGCACCCGGAAUAUGGAAUUUUGAGUAGAAGAAUAUCACUUCUCUUAAGUCUUUCUGACAUUAGGUGUGGCUUCCACAGACCAAGCUGUGAUGCUGUAUUGGUCUGACAGAACCUUCACUUCAAUGAUGUCUGUCUGAAAUGUCUCCAGAUGACUUCUGUACUGUGAAAUAGAGCCAAACUGUGGAAACAAGCAAACAAAAUGUCCUAGGAUUGCUUAUGGCUGUAGAGCCAUCAAGCAGGUCCUGAAGUGGGUUGUGGACUAAACCAGUUAUUUCAAUCUUCAAAGGACCAAGAGGCCUUUGCUAACAUCUGAAUUAUAGAUAUGAAAACAAAAAUAAAGAAGAUUCAAAACACGCAUAAUAGGUGUUCCUAGAAAAGAAAACAAAAUACAACAAAACAAAAACAAAAGGAAAAAAAAUUAUUUUGAGUUAAUACAAAGAACUUCUCCUCAAAGAAAAGAUCUGAAUAUUCAAUGUUAAACCGACAUACCCAGGAAAAAAGUAAUAAGAUCAUGACAAGAUCAAAAAGUGAUCAAGAUCCCAAAAGAAAAGACUUGCACCUUUAAAUAAAAAAUAAUACAUAUCAGGCAGGCCUUAGAUGUCUAUCCGCAGGGACACUAGAAACAAACAUUGUUGAAAAGAAAAGAUAUGCUACAGAAUUCUUAGUCUAGCCAGGAUAUCUUCCAAAUGUAAAGACGUGAGAAACACAAUCUUAUAUAUGUAAGAGCUUUGUAAUUUUAGUAGUAAUAAAAUCUCCCUAAAAAGUCUACUUUAAAAAAAUAACCCUGCUAUCUGAAAGAAUAAUCAAAUUUAGAAUUUACAAGUUGAGAAAUUGUGAUAGAGACAGAUUAGCAAUAAAUACUGACCACAAAGCUAGAAGUAUUCAUGAAGACAGUAGAAGAGUUUACAGGGACAAAAAUGGGAAGUGACACUACAACCCCAAAUAUCAGAAGUAAGAGAGAUUUUUCUCAGGGAAGCACCUAGAAGUCUCUGUGCUCAGAGUUAAGAAAUCCAGCAUACUGGAGAGGGAGUGACAUCAUGCUACUUCCAGACCAAGCCCUUGAAGGGACUGGCAGCUUCUACUUUCCUUCCUCUUGGAGCUCUCGGAACCCUUUCAGAACCCAGAAGGCACUCUGUGAAAAUCAUGGGCCACAUAGAAAGGCUAAGUGAAGGUGCUGCAGACAACAGGCCCAGCUGAGCUUCCAGCUUACAGGCAUGUACCAAAUGUGACCUCGAGAGUGAGCCAUCUGAAUAAUGCAGCCUAGGAGGCUCAGAAGAAUAGACCUCCACCCAUAUCUCAUGGAGCAGAAGAUGACCCACUGGAGCCAGUCAACCCACAGGAGCACUGGAAAUUACAGAAGAGUAUGUGCAUGUUGAAAAUACUGAUAACAAAAGACAAUACUAUAAUUAACAAAUACUGAGAGCUGAAGAGGGAAAGGGAUAUAAAAGAUAAAGUGUUUAAGUCUUCAUUCUUAAUGGAAGGAAUCAAGACAUAACAAUAUAAUUUAAAGUGUUCAUUAUAACCAGAAGGACAAACCCAGAAAAUCUUAAGUUGUUCUGGAAAGUGGGACUAAGGGUAGA